AGCGGCGGACGGGUGAGUAACACGUGAGUAACCUGCCUUUGACACAGGGAUAGCCUCGGGAAACCGGGAUUAAUACCAGAUAACAUUAUCAGAUCGCAUGAGAAGAUAAUCAAAGCUGAGGCGGUCAAAGAUGGACUCGCGUCCCAUUAGCUAGUUGGUAGAGUAAUAGCCUACCAAGGCAACGAUGGGUAGCCGGCCUGAGAGGGUGAACGGCCACAUUGGAACUGAGAAACGGUCCAAACUCCUACGGGAGGCAGCAGUGGGGAAUAUUGCACAAUGGGGGAAACCCUGAUGCAGCGACGCCGCGUGAGCGAAGAAGGUUUUCGAAUCGUAAAGCUCUGUCCUAUGGGAAGAUAAUGACGGUACCAUAGGAGGAAGCCCCGGCUAACUACGUGCCAGCAGCCGCGGUAAUACGUAGGGGGCAAGCGUUGUCCGGAAUCACUGGGCGUAAAGGGUUCGCAGGCGGAAAUGCAAGUCAGUUGUGAAAGGCAGAGGCUCAACCUCUGUAAGCAAUUGAAACUGUAUUUCUUGAGAUGUGGAGAGGCAAGUGGAAUUCCUAGUGUAGCGGUGAAAUGCGUAGAUAUUAGGAAGAAUACCGGUGGCGAAGGCGACU
Molecule: ribosomal RNA, 613 nt
Filed under: uncultured Clostridium sp.
Lineage: Bacteria; Bacillati; Bacillota; Clostridia; Eubacteriales; Clostridiaceae
Description: bacterial SSU rRNA
Rfam family: Bacterial small subunit ribosomal RNA
Source: RNAcentral